AGUAAUACAUCGGAACGUGUCUUCUAGUGGGGGAUAACUGCCCGAAAGGGCAGCUAAUACCGCAUGAGACCUGAGGGUGAAAGCGGGGAAUCGCAAGACCUCGCGCUGGAAGAGCGGCCGAUGUCCGAUUAGCUAGUUGGUGAGGUAAAGGCUCACCAAGGCGACGAUCGGUAGCUGGUCUGAGAGGACGACCAGCCACACUGGGACUGAGACACGGCCCAG
Molecule: ribosomal RNA, 222 nt
Filed under: uncultured bacterium
Lineage: Bacteria
Description: partial 16S ribosomal RNA
Rfam family: Bacterial small subunit ribosomal RNA
Source: RNAcentral